GACGAACGCUGGCGGCGUGCUUAACACAUGCAAGUCGAACGGAAAGGCCCUGCUUGCAGGGUACUCGAGUGGCGAACGGGUGAGUAACACGUGGGUGAUCUGCCCUGCACUUCGGGACAAGCCUGGGAAACUGGGUCUAAUACCGGAUAGGAGCCAUUUUUAGUGUGAUGGUUGGAAAGUUUUUUCGGUGUAGGAUGAGCUCGCGGCCUAUCAGCUUGUUGGUGGGGUAAUGGCCUACCAAGGCGGCGACGGGUAGCCGGCCUGAGAGGGUGGACGGCCACAUUGGGACUGAGAUACGGCCCAGACUCCUACGGGAGGCAGCAGUGGGGAAUAUUGCACAAUGGGCGCAAGCCUGAUGCAGCGACGCCGCGUGGGGGAUGACGGCCUUCGGGUUGUAAACUCCUUUCGCUAGGGACGAAGCUUUUUGUGACGGUACCUAGAUAAGAAGCACCGGCUAACUACGUG
Molecule: ribosomal RNA, 465 nt
Filed under: uncultured bacterium
Lineage: Bacteria
Description: partial 16S ribosomal RNA
Rfam family: Bacterial small subunit ribosomal RNA
Source: RNAcentral